GAUGAACGCUGGCGGCGUGCCUAAUACAUGCAAGUCGAGCGAACAGACGAGGAGCUUGCUCCUUUGACGUUAGCGGCGGACGGGUGAGUAACACGUGGGUAACCUACCUAUAAGACUGGGAUAACUUCGGGAAACCGGAGCUAAUACCGGAUAAUAUUUCGAACCGCAUGGUUCGAUAGUGAAAGAUGGCUUUGCUAUCACUUAUAGAUGGACCUGCGCCGUAUUAGCUAGUUGGUAAGGUAACGGCUUACCAAGGCAACGAUACGUAGCCGACCUGAGAGGGUGAUCGGCCACACUGGAACUGAGACACGGUCCAGACUCCUACGGGAGGCAGCAGUAGGGAAUCUUCCGCAAUGGGCGAAAGCCUGACGGAGCAACGCCGCGUGAGUGAUGAAGGUCUUCAGAUCGUAAAACUCUGUUAUUAGGGAAGAACAAACGUGUAAGUAACUGUGCACGUCUUGACGGUACCUAAUCAGAAAGCCACGGCUAACUACGUG
This 497-nucleotide ribosomal RNA is filed under the name uncultured bacterium. Its description in RNAcentral is "partial 16S ribosomal RNA". It matches the Rfam family "Bacterial small subunit ribosomal RNA", at positions 28 to 507 of the family's 1533-position model. The record is from RNAcentral.